RNAcentral lists this ribosomal RNA (497 nucleotides) under uncultured bacterium. RNAcentral's name for it is "partial 16S ribosomal RNA". It matches the Rfam family "Bacterial small subunit ribosomal RNA", at positions 28 to 507 of the family's 1533-position model. The record is from RNAcentral.
GAUGAACGCUGGCGGCGUGCCUAAUACAUGCAAGUCGAGCGAACGGACGAGAAGCUUGCUUCUCUGAUGUUAGCGGCGGACGGGUGAGUAACACGUGGAUAACCUACCUAUAAGACUGGGAUAACUUCGGGAAACCGGAGCUAAUACCGGAUAAUAUCUUGAACCGCAUGGUUCAAAAGUGAAAGACGGUCUUGCUGUCACUUAUAGCUGGAUCCGCGCUGCAUUAGCUAGUUGGUAAGGUAACGGCUUACCAAGGCAACGAUGCAUAGCCGACCUGAGAGGGUGAUCGGCCACACUGGAACUGAGACACGGUCCAGACUCCUACGGGAGGCAGCAGUAGGGAAUCUUCCGCAAUGGGCGGAAGACUGACGGAGCAACGCCGCGUGAGUGAUGAAGGUCUUCGGAUCGGAAAACUCUGUUAGGAGGGAAGACCAUAUGUGUAAGGAACUGUGCACAUCGUGACGGUACCUAAUCAGAAAGCAACGGCUAACUACGUG